This 102-nucleotide non-coding RNA is filed under the name Citrobacter youngae. RNAcentral's name for it is "traJ-II RNA". It matches the Rfam family "traJ-II RNA". Lineage: Bacteria; Pseudomonadati; Pseudomonadota; Gammaproteobacteria; Enterobacterales; Enterobacteriaceae. The record is from RNAcentral.
GGGCAGGACAUGUGAAGUAGGCCCACCGCUUACGCGAUGGACCUCUUCACUUCCCUUAUUCGCAGCCGGGGGCCGCUCAACGGGAUUCCUGCUCUGCGAGGC